Molecule: ribosomal RNA, 260 nt
Filed under: uncultured bacterium
Lineage: Bacteria
Description: partial 16S ribosomal RNA
Rfam family: Bacterial small subunit ribosomal RNA
Source: RNAcentral
AAUCAACGCUGGCGGCGUGCCUCAGACAUGCAAGUCGAACGAUUAAGACUCUCUUCGGAGAGUGCAUAAAGUGGCGCACGGGUGAGUAACACGUAAGUAAUCUACCCUCGAGUGGGAAGUAACGUACCGGAACGGAACGCUAAUACCGCAUAAUGCAGCGGCACCGCAAGGUAGACAGUUGUUAAAGAUUUAUCGCUUGGGGAGGAGCUUGCGGCAGAUUAGUCAGUUGGUAAGGUAAUGGCUUACCAAGGCUACGAUCU